GACGAACGCUGGCGGCGUGCUUAGCACAUGCAAGUCGAACGGGCCUUGUCCCCUUUUUUUUGGGGGUGGGGUUAGUGGCGAACGGGUGAGUAACACGUGAGUAACCUGCCCCUCACUUCUGGAUAACCGCUUGAAAGGGUGGCUAAUACGGGGUGUUCUGGCCUGCUCGCAUGGGUGGGUUUGGAAAGAUUCGACCGGUUUUGGUUGUUUUGGUGGGGGAUGGGCUCGCGGCCUAUCAGCUUGUUGGUGGGGUGUUGGCCUGCCAAGGCUUUGACGGGUAGCCGGCCUGAGGGGGUGGGCGGUCACACUGGGACUGAGACGCGGCCCAGACUCCUGCGGGAGGCAGCAGUGGGGAAUAUUGCACAAUGGGCGCGAGCCUGAUGCAGCGACGCCGCGUGAGGGAUGGAGGCCUGCGGGUUGUGAACCUCUUUCGCCAGUGAAGAAGGUCCUGCUCUUUGUGGUGGGGUUGACGGUAGCUGGGUUGAUGAAGCGCCGGCUAACUACGUG
This 507-nucleotide ribosomal RNA is filed under the name uncultured bacterium. Its description in RNAcentral is "partial 16S ribosomal RNA". It matches the Rfam family "Bacterial small subunit ribosomal RNA", at positions 28 to 507 of the family's 1533-position model. The record is from RNAcentral.